RNAcentral lists this transfer-messenger RNA (427 nucleotides) under Alphaproteobacteria (a-proteobacteria). RNAcentral's name for it is "JACKLD01 sp024236095 Standard tmRNA". It matches the Rfam family "transfer-messenger RNA". From Rfam's summary of the family: Bacterial tmRNA, also known as 10Sa RNA or SsrA, is named for its dual tRNA and mRNA-like properties. Its role is to liberate the mRNA from a stalled ribosome. To accomplish this part of the tmRNA is used as a reading frame that ends in a translation stop signal. Lineage: Bacteria; Pseudomonadati; Pseudomonadota. RNAcentral also lists the same sequence under 1 other name. The record is from RNAcentral.
GGGGCUGUCCCGGUUUCGACGGAGCUUGAAGGGGUUCCCAAGGAGCAUGCGGAGGGGGUUGGAGCCCGCCUUAAAAAAUCCAGCAAACUGAUAAGUGCCAAACAAAGCGCACAGAUCAUCGCGUUCCCGAAGGCUCGUGCCUUCGCGCCCGCGGCGAUGGCUGCCUAACCUAGACCUCGGAUUGGUUUCCGACCUAGGCUAGAUGCCUCCGGCCCGCUUCCCUUAGCUGAGUGAGGUGGCGGUGCUCCGGGCUUACCUUCCGCCCAGCUAUGACCCUUGCCAUGAUGGCCGGUAAGGGCGAGACAUUCGUCAUCAACCGUGGGGUGCGGUGCGCUUGGCGCUAACCACGGCCUAACCAAGCGCUAAGCAUGUAGAGCCACACCUUGACGAGAUUCGGACGUGGGUUCGAUUCCCACCAGCUCCACCA